RNAcentral lists this long non-coding RNA (221 nucleotides) under Mytilus galloprovincialis (Mediterranean mussel). Lineage: Eukaryota; Metazoa; Mollusca; Bivalvia; Mytilida; Mytilidae. The record is from RNAcentral.
AUUGAUCUUAAAUUCUAAUUCAUAAACUCAAACGAACAUAAAAUAUUUAUCAAAUAACCACAAACUCUUACAUGGGAGACGCCACUUGCAGAGACAAGCGCACAUUUUAUUAUAAAUAUGAGUAUAAUAUUGUUGAAAGUUCAUAUAUAUACAAUGUAUAUAUAUAUAGCUAUUAAGCCGCUUGUACUGGUUUCCCCAUACUUGUGGUCCACAAAUCUGAA